Molecule: ribosomal RNA, 253 nt
Filed under: uncultured bacterium
Lineage: Bacteria
Description: partial 16S ribosomal RNA
Rfam family: Bacterial small subunit ribosomal RNA
Source: RNAcentral
GACGUAGGGGGCGAGCGUUGUCCGGAUUUAUUGGGCGUAAAGAGCGCGUAGGCGGCCCGGAAAGUCGGAUGUGAAAACCCGGGGCUCAACCCCGGGCCUGCAUCCGAUACUCCUGGGCUGGAGGCAGGUAGGGGAGAUCGGAAUUCCUGGUGUAGCGGUGAAAUGCGCAGAUAUCAGGAGGAACACCGGUGGCGAAGGCGGAUCUCUGGGCCUGUCCUGACGCUGAGGCACGAAGGUCAGGGGAGCAAACGGG